This 1476-nucleotide ribosomal RNA is filed under the name Limosilactobacillus reuteri. RNAcentral's name for it is "Lactobacillus reuteri partial 16S ribosomal RNA". It matches the Rfam family "Bacterial small subunit ribosomal RNA". Lineage: Bacteria; Bacillati; Bacillota; Bacilli; Lactobacillales; Lactobacillaceae. The record is from RNAcentral.
GGAUGAACGCCGGCGGUGUGCCUAAUACAUGCAAGUCGUACGCACUGGCCCAACUGAUUGAUGGUGCUUGCACCUGAUUGACGAUGGAUCACCAGUGAGUGGCGGACGGGUGAGUAACACGUAGGUAACCUGCCCCGGAGCGGGGGAUAACAUUUGGAAACAGAUGCUAAUACCGCAUAACAACAAAAGCCACAUGGCUUUUGUUUGAAAGAUGGCUUUGGCUAUCACUCUGGGAUGGACCUGCGGUGCAUUAGCUAGUUGGUAAGGUAACGGCUUACCAAGGCGAUGAUGCAUAGCCGAGUUGAGAGACUGAUCGGCCACAAUGGAACUGAGACACGGUCCAUACUCCUACGGGAGGCAGCAGUAGGGAAUCUUCCACAAUGGGCGCAAGCCUGAUGGAGCAACACCGCGUGAGUGAAGAAGGGUUUCGGCUCGUAAAGCUCUGUUGUUGGAGAAGAACGUGCGUGAGAGUAACUGUUCACGCAGUGACGGUAUCCAACCAGAAAGUCACGGCUAACUACGUGCCAGCAGCCGCGGUAAUACGUAGGUGGCAAGCGUUAUCCGGAUUUAUUGGGCGUAAAGCGAGCGCAGGCGGUUGCUUAGGUCUGAUGUGAAAGCCUUCGGCUUAACCGAAGAAGUGCAUCGGAAACCGGGCGACUUGAGUGCAGAAGAGGACAGUGGAACUCCAUGUGUAGCGGUGGAAUGCGUAGAUAUAUGGAAGAACACCAGUGGCGAAGGCGGCUGUCUGGUCUGCAACUGACGCUGAGGCUCGAAAGCAUGGGUAGCGAACAGGAUUAGAUACCCUGGUAGUCCAUGCCGUAAACGAUGAGUGCUAGGUGUUGGAGGGUUUCCGCCCUUCAGUGCCGGAGCUAACGCAUUAAGCACUCCGCCUGGGGAGUACGACCGCAAGGUUGAAACUCAAAGGAAUUGACGGGGGCCCGCACAAGCGGUGGAGCAUGUGGUUUAAUUCGAAGCUACGCGAAGAACCUUACCAGGUCUUGACAUCUUGCGCUAACCUUAGAGAUAAGGCGUUCCCUUCGGGGACGCAAUGACAGGUGGUGCAUGGUCGUCGUCAGCUCGUGUCGUGAGAUGUUGGGUUAAGUCCCGCAACGAGCGCAACCCUUGUUACUAGUUGCCAGCAUUAAGUUGGGCACUCUAGUGAGACUGCCGGUGACAAACCGGAGGAAGGUGGGGACGACGUCAGAUCAUCAUGCCCCUUAUGACCUGGGCUACACACGUGCUACAAUGGACGGUACAACGAGUCGCAAGCUCGCGAGAGUAAGCUAAUCUCUUAAAGCCGUUCUCAGUUCGGACUGUAGGCUGCAACUCGCCUACACGAAGUCGGAAUCGCUAGUAAUCGCGGAUCAGCAUGCCGCGGGUGAAUACGUUCCCGGGCCUUGUACACACCGCCCGUCACACCAUGGGAGUUUGUAACGCCCAAAGUCGGUGGCCUAACCUUUAUGGAGGGAGCCGCCU